Podarcis lilfordi (Lilford's wall lizard) is the source of this 73-nucleotide non-coding RNA. NCBI's taxonomy places the organism in Eukaryota, Metazoa, Chordata, Lepidosauria, Squamata, Lacertidae. The record is from the annotation of a GenBank genome assembly.
UGCUUGAUAGCUCAGUUGAUAGAGCAUGAGACACUUAAUCUCAGGGUCGUGGGUUUGAGCCCCAGUUAGGCAA